RNAcentral lists this long non-coding RNA (371 nucleotides) under Brassica napus (rape). Its description in RNAcentral is "long non-coding RNA (BNAP_LNC023330)". Lineage: Eukaryota; Viridiplantae; Streptophyta; Magnoliopsida; Brassicales; Brassicaceae. The record is from RNAcentral.
AGCUUUGGAAGGGUAGCAUCGAGAUGUGGCUCUCGUCGCAUCCUGACUUCUAGCUCUGGCUCGCAUUAUUUCUGAAGUCGAGCCCAAUAAUUAUAGCUUCGGUGAUCUUGCUGCGAUAAACCAGAAGGCACAAAUAGAGUUAUCUGGUGAGACUUAAGGUAUCUAGCUUCGAGUACUUGUCGCCUCUACCGGUGGUGGAAGUGUGGAUUUAGUGACUCGUCGGUCGGUUACUCGCAAAGCUGCGCGGGAAUGAUGUCAAAGGCGUCAUUCCCAUUUGGCAAUACUAACCUAUCGGCCAAGCUGUUCUUUCGGUUUAUCUAGCUAACUCGUGUUAUUAUCUUGUUUAUAUUGUCAAUACUUGUGUACCCGGA